GACGAACGCUGGCGGCGUGCCUAAUACAUGCAAGUCGAACGCAAAGUUUAUAUCGUGGCUCGCUACACCAUAGAACGUGAGUUGAGAACGGGUGAGUAACGCGUAGGUAACCUGCCUGGUAGCGGGGGAUAACUAUAGGAAACGAUAGCUAAUACCGCAUAAUAUUGAUUAUUGCAUGAUAAUAGAUUGAAAGAUGCUAUUGAAUCGCUAACAGAUGGACCUGCGUUGUAUUAGCUAGUAGGUGAGGUAACGGCCCACCUACGCGACGGUACAUAGCCGACCUGAGAAGGUGAUCAUCCACACCUGGACUGAGACACGGCCCAGACUCCUACGGGAUGCAGCAGUAGGGAAACUUCGGCAAUAGACGGAAGUCUGGCCGAUCAGCGCCGCGGCGGUGGACUAAGUUUUCGGAUCGUAGAGCUCUGUUGUAGGAGUAGAACUGUAGUGAUCUUUUAAAGUUCACGAUGUUACGGUAUCUUACCAGAAAGGGACGGCUAACUACGUG
This 505-nucleotide ribosomal RNA is filed under the name uncultured bacterium. Its description in RNAcentral is "partial 16S ribosomal RNA". It matches the Rfam family "Bacterial small subunit ribosomal RNA", at positions 28 to 507 of the family's 1533-position model. The record is from RNAcentral.